AAGAAUGUAUUAUGAUCUUGGGAGAGAGGCAGAUACUCAGUGCUCCUGCCACCCUCACUAAGAGAGGUCAAAGAGUUACAGAGGCUGUACGAUGAGCAAAGAACUGUGGUAUUGUACCCCAGGACAAGAAGUAAUGAGGCUAAGGUGAUGAAAGGUGGAGAAGUGAGACAGCCAAGUUAGGUACUCAUGAAUAGGAUAUUAUACCAGAGAAGAAGAAAGCCAGUUUCUGGGAAGACUGAACUCCUGUUGAUUGCCAAAUGCUGAUUGAACACUAGCCAGCAAUGCCUUCUGCUGAGCUUUUGGUGGGACUUCUGAUCCUGCAUAGGAAUCUGAAGGAAGCAAUGCCACAUAACAGGCCGGUGCAGAGAAACAAGCUGAGAAAGAAGUGUCUAUUUCCAGUAAUGAGCAGGAAGAAGCUGAGGUCAUCAGAAGUACUCCAAUUUCCUAUUCCAGCACCAGAAUACAUUCUAAAGAAGAUAAUCCACAAAUAGAUAACUGAGUAGAGUGCUUUAUACUUCUGACCCUCUAAGAAGUCCAACACUCUUUGCAAAUGAGACUCCAUUAAUCUUCAUGAUUCUCCAAACAGAUUUUAAUUGAUGACUGACAAAUAGAAAGCUGUGGACCAGAGAUCUGCACAAAAUCUAGCAAAUAACAUCAGAGAUGGACUUGUGAAGAACAUCUGCAGAUCCUAACAGCCAAUGGAUCAAUCUGACAUGUUCCUCAGUUAGGACAAGUGAGCAAGUGGAAAGCAUAACUUUAAAAAUACAGGGAAGGGACAGAUUCCCUACUCUAGCAUACAGGACUCCACUAUAGGACGUAGCCAUGCUCUAUCAACCACAGGGCAACUCUCUUCUCUUCAGUGAACCAAGGUGAUUGCAAAGUUAUCAGAAUCCUCUGGGAACUUAGUCUUAAAGCUUUCUCUAUAGCUUUCACUUAUAAUUUAUUCCAUCAGGGAGCAUGAACCAGGAUUGAUUUGUGGGGUAGAGAGGGGUGGACAUAGGGGCAGCACAGCAUAUUCUUGUCACCACAGGGUUGGGGCAUUCUCAUGCUGAAGGGGCAUCUCUAGCAUCGGUGCUCAAGGAGGGAUAUAAAGAAGGCCCAACUGCAGAAGCAGCAGUAAAGACUGAGACAGCUUCUUCCAUAGUCCAAAGCUCCCUAUGGAAGCUGGAAAAGAGGAUAGUAAACCCCAAAGAGAGCAAUAUGAAGAGCAGACCAGGAGAAAAAUUUAAUUGCUGUAAAUCAGAUCAAGACAAGUCCCAUGUGAGCAGCAGUUCAAGGGAAAUACAAAGCAAGAAAAAGUCCCAUCCAGUUUGUUUGAAAAGACAAAUCGAAGAAUAUAAAACCCCAAUUAGAUUACCUGAGACCUAGAGAGGUAAAGUGACAACUCCAAAUUCUUAUAACUACUAAAAAGCAUGGUUGGGACUUGAACCCAUGGCCAGCAAUCUUUUCAAUGAUCAAGGAUGGCUGGGUCUUAUUCUGAUAGAAUUGAAAAUGAAUGAAGGAACAUGUAGUUCUAAUGGAGAGGAAAAUGCCCCUUAAGGUUCUACUUUAAGGAGAGGCAGAAAAGGCUAGUUAAUGGAGAAAUAGACUAGAAGCUUAUACUCCAGCAUUAUAUUCCUGGUCCUGUCAUCAACUUAUCGUGGUAAAUAUUGUCAACUCUUCAUGUUAUAAGUGAGAGCACCACCACCUGCUUCAUGCUAUCCUCCCCAGGGUCUUAUACAGAUUAAUGAGGGCAUCCAAAAAGUUAUCUGAGUUCUUUAGAAAUUACAAAUUUUCUUCAUAAAUUCCCAUUAUAAAUUCCCUGCAGGGUGGGAUUUAUAUCUCCUUUUUCCCAUUAUGCACAUAGUAAGUGUGCAAGGAACAAUUGCUGACUGAGAAAGCACCCUGAGGAAGACUGAUUGCUAAGUUUCUAAUAUUUGCAGGCAGAUGUCUGGGAAUCUUUCUAAGAUGAUGAUGGGUUCCAUCAAAAUUGAAUAUUGGGGGUACCACAAAACAAAUUUUAUUAAAACUAGGGGAGAUUGAACCACUAGGUGGAUGUCACCAGAGGGAAAUGAAGAAAUAAAACUCAAGAGAAAAUUCUAACAGUUACUUACAUCCAUGGAGUAAUGCUCAAUCUGAUAGAUGGUGGUCAGCCCCUGGGUCGUGAAAUAGUCCAGACAUGAUGAACAGCCCAACCUCGCUAAGAAACUGCAGAGGGAGGAGGGAAGAGGAAGGAGGAAACAGAAAAAGAAAGUUCACCCCAACUGCAUUGGCGAGAUAAAAGAAAACCCAACAUUUUGCCCUUGGAUGCCCUACAGAAGAGAUGAGGGGCAGAUGAAAUAUAUGUGGGCCUUGGAUUUCAGGUUUGGGGAUGAUUGGUGACUGGAACUUUAGGUCUUCAGACAUUAAAAUCAACUAUAAGGAUUCCUGUAAAGCAGGGACUUUGAAAUGGUGAUCUGUGAAAUUUCUCAGGAUCUGAGUAAGUACCUUAGAAACUGUUGCAAGGGGGCAGGGAAGGACUCAACUGGGUCAGGUUCCCAGCCCUGUCACCACCUGGCUCUUCAUUUUGAAAGAGCUGUUUUCAAUCGUUUUGUACUUUGGGUUUCUGCAUGAGGUUCAUGUAGUUAUAAAAAAAAAAACUGUAGGCCAUUAUUCUAUGAAAUGUUUAAUGCUUUUUGAUUUAUAUUCUCCUUAGAAUACAGAUCACCUCUGCUUUGGUGCUGGUCUCACAAUGAUGAUGCCACCAUUGUCACAGAGCCAGAACCUGGGUGGGAUAAGCCAUGAACUUUGCCCAUCUCAGCGACUGACAUCUGCUAGUCCUAUUGUAUCAACUGCAUGAGGACUAACACAAAUCAUCCCCACAGCCAAAUGUAAAAAAAAAUGGAAAAGCCCUCUGGACUACUUUGCCGACCAAAAAGCAUAGACUUAUCGUGUCUCAAUCUGUUUUCCCCUCUGACUUCCUGACUAUUUAAAAGGAUAGUUGUGAAAUAUAAAUAAGAAAAAGUAGGUAAACUGUAAGGUAUACAAAUGUGGAGGGUCAUCAACACUACCACUAUUUUGUCAUCCCACGAAACAAACCGAGGACUCCAAGAGAUCACAGGAAUGAAAAUAAGAGGUGGGGAGCUGUUACCAUAUGAAGACUGAGACUGCAUCGAGGUCCUAGAAACACAAACACCGGAGUGAUGGUGAGCAUGGAACAGUGAAGAGCAAGGAUUGGUCUUUUAAAACAAGUCUCAGUUUAAAGCAUUGUCUAGAACUGUACAUUUGCAAAGGUAUUCCUACAAGAUUGAUAAGUUAUUUUUGUUUCCACCAGAGAAAAUUUUCUAACUAGGGAGGGGUUGAAAGGCUAUCACCAAGUCAUAUGUUUUCUGAAUGGGCAAAGUAUAAACAUGAGUACUUCCUCAAGUAUCUCCUUUGUGAGGAGUAAAAUAAAUAUAGCCUCCUUUUCCCUCUGUUAUUUGCUCCAUAACCCUCCCUCCUCUUGUCCGUCAACCUAAACAAAUUUGAAGUACAAUAAAGGAGAAGAACCGAGCAAAGGCCCAAUAGCUCGUGAAUGACAUGGAAGUGCCAAGGUCAAAUUGCAGCUGAGGCAUUCCAUUUGGAACUUCCCAGACCAUUUGGGAUAUGCAGAAAAUAACUGCAAAGCCAGUCGAACAGGACAUUUGGCAGUACACCUUGCUGUCAUGCAGAGGCCCUAUCUUGGAGACAUGUUUUCUCAGCUGAGAUGUUCAUGGGUCAUGAGAAAACCUGUUGGAAUGUCAACAGCCCCUUUAUGCAAGAGAACCCUGAAGCUCAAACAACUGUCUGAUGACUUUCCAUAAGUCUUCUGGGAGACAAAGGAAAAAAUGAACAGUUUUCCAUUCAGCAUAAACUUUAAUUUGGAGAUGUACCAGAAUUGGUUCAUCAUAAUAUGAGUUAUAUUGCAGAUGAUAUUCUCUACUCAACUGUUCUCUCUGACUUAAAAAAAAACAAAACAACAACAAAACACACAAAAAACUAGGGAUAUUAACAUCCCUGCCUCAGUAUUUACCCAAGAAAACUGUAUAAGCUAUACACAUAAACAUUUAGUUCAUUAGUUAGAUAACAGAGCUGGGAAAACUAAUCAGACAUGGUCCCAACUUUGAGAAGCCCAGAGAUUAGUGGAUACAACCUAUUUUGUAGGGCUAUGAUGAGAACUGAAGUUAAAAAAAAAAAGACAAGGAAGUUAUAUAAAGAGUGUAACAUUUACAGUGAGUAAUUAUCAUGAUCACAGAAUGAAGUCUUGGCUUUAAACAUAUUUCUGACCUCUGGUGGGUUAUGCUCCUCUCUUACAGUCCUCAAACAAAAUGUAUUGUUUUGUUCCUAUUUGCCUCCGUCCUGCUGUAGGAAGAGAUAAAAACUGUAGAGGAGAGAUAAAAACUUUUUUUUUUAAUAGUUUUAUUUUUCCCUAAUUUUGGAGACUCUGUAAUUUAACUUGGUUCUCAAGCAAAUAUGGCCUAAUAAGAGUUCCAUGUUAAACAACAACAAAAGCAGCACUUCUGGUCAUUAUUUGAAAUGUGAUUCAUCUUGAGUGCAACAGUAAUAGGUAUUGGUCGUUGAAGCUGCCAUUCUGCAUUCUCCAUAAUUAUACAGAAACAAGGAAGGCUCCAGGCCAUAGAGGUGAAGAGCUACAGCUAAAGGAAAGGGAACAAUGUGCUGUACAUUCAUUUGCAUAAGUGAGCAGACGAUUAACAUGGAAUUAACAAUUUAGCUCUAUUUUAAAAUCCCUGCCUUUAAGGUAGGGGGACACUGAUUUUUCUUUUUAGCCCUUUUCUCAGUUACUCAAAAUUAUAGAUUCACAUGCAUAGACAAGUGUUUAUGUAAUAAACCUUCCCAACAGCAAAACA
Long non-coding RNA from Choloepus didactylus (southern two-toed sloth), 4844 nucleotides. RefSeq lists it as uncharacterized. Lineage: Eukaryota; Metazoa; Chordata; Mammalia; Pilosa; Megalonychidae. The transcript has 5 exons. The record is from RefSeq and is a predicted model, not a curated record.